Molecule: transfer RNA, 75 nt
Filed under: Vitis vinifera (wine grape)
Lineage: Eukaryota; Viridiplantae; Streptophyta; Magnoliopsida; Vitales; Vitaceae
Description: tRNA-Tyr
Rfam family: tRNA
About the family: Transfer RNA (tRNA) molecules are approximately 80 nucleotides in length.
Source: RNAcentral
CCGACCUUAGCUCAGUUGGUAGAGCGGAGGACUGUAGUUAUCCUUAGGUCGCUGGUUCGAAUCCGGCAGGUCGGA